GACACAGCUAAAUCUGUAAGCAGACAAAUGUUUACUCUCUGCUCUUCUUCUCCUAAAUCUGUUCUAGGGUUUCGUCCUUCAUUUCACAAACCCCAUCUCCCUUCCAUUAAUUUCCCCACUCUAGGAUCAAAUGGGCUUCCCCAGCUCUCAAGUUUCAGGCCAAAAAUUGUGGUCGGAUUGCAAGUGAAGCAGAGGCUGGCUCCAGUAUUUUCAACAAAUUCCAACUAUCCAGAAGGCAAUUCUGUUGCAAAGAAACCAGAUGGGGGAAAACCUACUGAAGAAAACAGCGGCCAGGGUCCUCCGUUCCUCACCAUUUUGGCUGGUUUUUUAGUCCUUUUCCUGAUAACAAAGGUUUUCGGAUCCAUUAUAACAUGGCUAGUUGGCCUGAUUGUCAAUGCUCCUAAACCGAAAUAGAGUUUUUGUGUCUAGCUGUUUAGAUCCAUGAAAGGAGCUCAGAGCAUGAUUGUUAUUGCAUCGUUAGCUGCUUUUAUUAUUGCUUUCAUGGUUUGCAACACUGACCUCGCAUAAAGCUGGUUGUUAAUUGCA
Daucus carota subsp. sativus is the source of this 546-nucleotide long non-coding RNA. RefSeq lists it as uncharacterized. NCBI's taxonomy places the organism in Eukaryota, Viridiplantae, Streptophyta, Magnoliopsida, Apiales, Apiaceae. The transcript is spliced from 2 exons. The record is from RefSeq and is a predicted model, not a curated record.